Molecule: ribosomal RNA, 525 nt
Filed under: Bacillus pumilus
Lineage: Bacteria; Bacillati; Bacillota; Bacilli; Caryophanales; Bacillaceae
Description: bacterial SSU rRNA
Rfam family: Bacterial small subunit ribosomal RNA
Source: RNAcentral
GAAUUAUUGGGCGUAGAGGGCUCGCAGGCGGUUUCUUAAGUCUGAUGUGAAAGCCCCCGGCUCAACCGGGGAGGGUCAUUGGAAACUGGGAAACUUGAGUGCAGAAGAGGAGAGUGGAAUUCCACGUGUAGCGGUGAAAUGCGUAGAGAUGUGGAGGAACACCAGUGGCGAAGGCGACUCUCUGGUCUGUAACUGACGCUGAGGAGCGAAAGCGUGGGGAGCGAACAGGAUUAGAUACCCUGGUAGUCCACGCCGUAAACGAUGAGUGCUAAGUGUUAGGGGGUUUCCGCCCCUUAGUGCUGCAGCUAACGCAUUAAGCACUCCGCCUGGGGAGUACGGUCGCAAGACUGAAACUCAAAGGAAUUGACGGGGGCCCGCACAAGCGGUGGAGCAUGUGGUUUAAUUCGAAGCAACGCGAAGAACCUUACCAGGUCUUGACAUCCUCUGACAACCCUAGAGAUAGGGCUUUCCCUUCGGGGACAGAGUGACAGGUGGUGCAUGGUUGUCGUCAGCUCGUGUCGUGAG